Lepisosteus oculatus (spotted gar) is the source of this 45-nucleotide non-coding RNA. NCBI's taxonomy places the organism in Eukaryota, Metazoa, Chordata, Actinopteri, Semionotiformes, Lepisosteidae. The record is from Rfam.
CCAAAGGCUCUUUUAAGAGCCGCCCACAGAGUCGAGAAGGGGCAG